GUUCAACUUGAGAAUAAAUUCAGCAGUUUAAGGAUACCCAAAUUUUUAAAUCCAAAUAUUUUUAAAAGCAAUGUUAUAUUGCAGGAUUUGUCAAAUUCUCAAUAAAACGGCCAAAUUACUAACAUAUAUAUUUUCUACAGUAACAACAAUAAUCAAGUAUAAUUAUGUACCAGAGGUGUUCUGAAACUACACUCUUCUUCUUCAGCAGAGGCAG
This 214-nucleotide long non-coding RNA is filed under the name Mytilus galloprovincialis (Mediterranean mussel). The record is from RNAcentral. Lineage: Eukaryota; Metazoa; Mollusca; Bivalvia; Mytilida; Mytilidae.